GCUGGGCGUGGUGGCGCACGCCUGUAAUCCCAGCUACUCAGGAGGCUGAGGCAGAAGAAUUGCUUGAACCUGGGAGGCAGAGGUUGCAGUUAGCCGAGAUUGUGCCAUCGCACUCCAGCCUGGGCAACAGAGCAAGACUCUGUCUCAA
RNAcentral lists this non-coding RNA (148 nucleotides) under Gorilla gorilla gorilla (western lowland gorilla). The record is from Rfam by way of RNAcentral. Lineage: Eukaryota; Metazoa; Chordata; Mammalia; Primates; Hominidae.